Molecule: ribosomal RNA, 468 nt
Filed under: uncultured bacterium
Lineage: Bacteria
Description: partial 16S ribosomal RNA
Rfam family: Bacterial small subunit ribosomal RNA
Source: RNAcentral
GACGAACGCUGGCGGCGUGCUUAACACAUGCAAGUCGAACGGAAAGGCCCUGCUUUUGUGGGGUGCUCGAGUGGCGAACGGGUGAGUAACACGUGAGUAACCUGCCCUUGACUUUGGGAUAACUUCAGGAAACUGGGGCUAAUACCGGAUAGGAGCUCCUGCUGCAUGGUGGGGGUUGGAAAGUUUCGGCGGUUGGGGAUGGACUCGCGGCGUAUCAGCUUGUUGGUGGGGUAGUGGCUUACCAAGGCUUUGACGGGUAGCCGGCCUGCGAGGGUGACCGGCCACAUUGGGACUGAGAUACGGCCCAGACUCCUACGGGAGGCAGCAGUGGGGAAUAUUGCACAAUGGGCGGAAGCCUGAUGCAGCAACGCCGCGUGCGGGAUGACGGCCUUCGGGUUGUAAACCGCUUUCGCCUGUGACGAAGCGUGAGUGACGGUAAUGGGUAAAGAAGCACCGGCUAACUACGUG